Mytilus californianus (California mussel) is the source of this 505-nucleotide long non-coding RNA. RefSeq lists it as uncharacterized. The transcript is spliced from 3 exons. The record is from RefSeq and is a predicted model, not a curated record. NCBI's taxonomy places the organism in Eukaryota, Metazoa, Mollusca, Bivalvia, Mytilida, Mytilidae.
CUGGCUAGUUACAUAACGUAUAUCAUACAAUUAACUUUACAGACUUCAAAUGUUUGUGUAACUGCACACAAAACAACAGAAAAGAGAAUAUCACACACAAUAAAAGACUUACAGACAUGUCAUGUUCAUGUAAGUGUGAGGAUAGGAAUGUUCCAUAUCUUCAGAUCAAUUCUAGAGAGAUGACAGAAAGGCUAGAAGAACUGAAACAAAACUUAACCAUAUCCAAAAACCAAACAAACCGUUACAGAAGAACGAAGACUAGCAUGUCUGACCAUCGGAUGUCAUCUGCUACUAUUGGAGUGUUCGGUGUCAUCAUCCUGACAGUUGUUGUUGGUAGCAUCCUUAUAAUCGAUAUCCCUAGGUUGCAAAGAUUGAUACAGACAAUUUUAUUUCGCAUAUAUUGAAAUUUUUGUUAAGCUAGUUCUUUCGUAUGCAAUGUGUUUACCGAAAACAAGUGAAAAAAUCAUCUUUACAUAACAAUCACAAGAGUUUCGAAAUAUUGUAU